GCAUGUGAGGGUGAUCUGGCUGCUACAUGUCACUCUAUUGAUCACCAGGGUUGAUUCAGCUGAUCUGGCUGGUUAGGUGGGUGACAUCUUCCUCUCUCAACAAUUCAUGUGAGUCCCUCUUGAAGCUGCAUGCUUUGAAAGAGGAUGACCACCUCCAUAAUGGAGGACUGUUUCUCCUCAAGAGUAUGGGAGUGUCCUCCCCUGCCAAAAUCUCCAAACAAGAGCUCUAAAUUGUGGACGUUGAGCAUUUUCUCUCCAUGACUUCAAACUGACUGACAUAAUACAUAU
Molecule: unclassified non-coding RNA, 288 nt
Organism: Cavia porcellus (domestic guinea pig)
Lineage: Eukaryota; Metazoa; Chordata; Mammalia; Rodentia; Caviidae
Gene: 7SK
Rfam family: 7SK RNA
About the family: 7SK was discovered as an abundant small nuclear RNA in the mid-70s but a possible function has only recently been suggested. Two independent studies have found that 7SK RNA binds the CDK9/cyclin T complex (known as elongation factor P-TEFb).
Source: Ensembl